ACGGAAGGCAGCAGUGGGGAAUAUUGGGCAAUGGGCGCAAGCCUGACCCAGCAACGCCGCGUGAAUGAUGAAGGUCUUCGGAUUGUAAAGUUCUGUGACGGGGGACGAACACAAUGACGGUACUCCGAUAGCAAGCCACGGCUAACUACGUGCCAGCAGCCGCGGUAAUACGUAGGUGGCAAGCGUUAUCCGGAAUGACUGGGCGUAAGGGGUGCGUAGGUGGUUUGGCAAGUUGGCGGCGUAAUUCCGAGGCUCAACCUCGGCGCUACCGCCAAAACUGUCUAACUUGAGUGCAGGAGGGGUAAGUGGAAUUCCUAGUGUAGCGGUGGAAUGCGUAGAUAUUAGGAGGAACAUCAGCGGCGAAGGCGACUUACUGGACUGUAACUGACACUGAGGCACGAAAGCGUGGGGAGCAAACAGGAUUAGAUACCCUGGUA
RNAcentral lists this ribosomal RNA (437 nucleotides) under uncultured bacterium. Its description in RNAcentral is "bacterial SSU rRNA". It matches the Rfam family "Bacterial small subunit ribosomal RNA", at positions 341 to 792 of the family's 1533-position model. The record is from RNAcentral.